This 426-nucleotide ribosomal RNA is filed under the name uncultured bacterium. Its description in RNAcentral is "bacterial SSU rRNA". It matches the Rfam family "Bacterial small subunit ribosomal RNA", at positions 354 to 796 of the family's 1533-position model. The record is from RNAcentral.
GUGGGGAAUAUUGGACAAUGGGCGCAAGCCUGAUCCAGCAAUGCCGCGUGGGUGAAGAAGGUCUUCGGAUCGUAAAGCCCUUUCGACAGGGACGAUGAUGACGGUACCUGUAGAAGAAGCCCCGGCUAACUUCGUGCCAGCAGCCGCGGUAAUACGAAGGGGGCUAGCGUUACUCGGAAUUACUGGGCGUAAAGGGCGCGUAGGCGGCUCUGUUAGUCAGGCGUGAAAUUCCUGGGCUUAACCUGGGGACUGCGCUUGAUACUGCAGGGCUUGAGGCCGAGAGAGGGUGGUGGAAUUCCCAGUGUAGAGGUGAAAUUCGUAGAUAUCCGGAGGAACACCAGUGGCGAAGGCGGCUUCCUGGACAGUAACUGACGCUGAGACGCGAAAGCGUGGGGAGCAAACAGGAUUAGAAACCCCGAGUAGUCC